GUGAGAUCAGGUUGGUUUGUUAGAAUGUCGCCGGUCAUAACCUCAAUUAUUGUCUUGUGUUUAUGCAACUUAGUAUACACAUCGAAUAGUACUGAAACCGUGCAUCAACAUCAUCACCAUCAUCGUAAAAGUGAAAUGUCUCCGUAUAGAUAUCAGAAAAAAAGUGAUGAUCGUGAGGUGAAUGCACGACAAGAGGAAACUGGAAAUGUUUUCAAAGAAAUGUACGAAUUGAUUGUUAAGUUUUUCGGGAUGUUUUCAAAACCAAUCGGUAAUUUCUUCACUGGAAUCUGGAAUGUUUUAACUUUUGUACCAAAGUUUUUCAUUCAAUUGAUGAAUCUUACUGGAUCAAUAUCCCGCACCAUUUUUGAAAUGAUUAUGAAAGGUGGUUAUAGUUGGCUUAAGGUUCAAGACAUUAUCGUGGACUUUAUUAGGAAUUUCCAAAAGGAAUUAUUGGAUGCACUGCGUGCAAACUUCUUCCCACAGAUUUCUCCGUAUAGAUCAUAAUUGCUUAAAUAAUAAUACUUAACUAGUUUAAAUUCUCUAUAAUUUUAUAUAAGUAAAUAAUGAAUAAUGCGACGGAAAAUUCUAGAGUGUUUAUUAACGCACGAAAAACGUUGUAAAUCAACGUCCGUUAUUUCCACGUAUUAAGAUAUUGUGUUUUAUAUACUCACUGUUAAAAUAAUUAUUAUAAACAUGAAUUAAGAGUAGAAAUAUGAUAUUUUCUUCGAAAUUGUACAAACUGUAUAAAUUAUAACAUUAUAACCUUAUCUUUUGUUUGCUUUACGAAAAGUUCGCUUUUGUUUAUGAGAAACCAAAAUCUACGUUUAUUGUGUCUUUGACGUUGUUCAAAAUGGCCGCGAAGUGUGUCAUCGCAGUUGCGAUAUUGAUUGUUGUAGUUGUAAUUGAUUCGAUAGAAUCGAAAGCUGUGUCAAUUCCUGAAGAAGACGAAACUGUUAAUAUUAAUAUAAAAAAUGGCGCUGGUUUGAAAAUUUCAUAUCCUGCAGGGGAGAUUAUUGUACCUUCAGAGAGGAAGAACGUUAGGAUUAAGACAAUUGAUGUUUUUGAGGAAAAAAAUUCGCCACCAGUUGGGCCUGAACCCAAAGAAACCGAUCGCAGUGUUCUUAAGUAUCCGUAUUAUCAUCAACAAAGUAAUAACCUCAAAGAACGUGUAAGACCGGAAGUGUAUCCAUGGCAGCAACAUGUUCGACCGAAAGAAACGCAUGGAAAACGUCAAAUGAAUGAUUAUUACGAUGAUUUUGAAACAUAUGAUUAUUAUGACGACUUUUUCCGGCAACCUGAACAUUCGAAUGAUCAGUCUAGAGAAUUAGUGCAUAACAGACAUAUGGCGGCCAUUUUGGAUUUCAUGCAGGAGGUUGUUUGGGCUGGACGGGCAUUUUUACAGGGAGAUAUAAAUAAUGUUAAAAAUAUGGCUUUUUAUUUGAUGCAAAAGUAUUUAUUUGGUGGGGGUUAUGGUGGUUUUUAAUACAAAGGAAAUAAUUUAUGUUGAGUAUUUUUAAAAUUAGGUUACGUGAAUAGUAAAACGAGGUUAUAUUGGUUAGCAGUAUAAAUAAAUAUUUAAUGUAAACAGAUGCAUGAUUUUUAAAUAGAAUUACACAAAUUUAUCAAUUUUCUUGUUGCAUUUUUUUAAUAUAAACAAUUAAUUAAAUUAUGGCGCGGUAAUGAGUAAUAUCUCUUAAUAUACGCGUAAUUUUGUAUUAUUCGAAUUGAGCAAUAUCUAAAAUCCUAGUUUUAUUUUAAAGGUUUUCCACCACCAUAUGUUUAUUAUAUUUAAAAAAUUACGAAAUUAUUUUUAAUCUGGCGGAUUGUUGAUAACAUAGGUGGCGCUAGUUGUAUCCAGUGUUGACUGAAUAAACUUGAUUCUAGAUUCUG
Dalotia coriaria is the source of this 1890-nucleotide long non-coding RNA. RefSeq lists it as uncharacterized. Lineage: Eukaryota; Metazoa; Arthropoda; Insecta; Coleoptera; Staphylinidae. The transcript is spliced from 3 exons. The record is from RefSeq and is a predicted model, not a curated record.